GCCUGGGUGGCUCAGUUGUUUGAGCAUCUGACUUCGGCUCAGGUCAUGAUCUCGCGAUCUGUGAGUUCGAGCCCCGUGUCGGGCU
Non-coding RNA from Felis catus (domestic cat), 85 nucleotides. Lineage: Eukaryota; Metazoa; Chordata; Mammalia; Carnivora; Felidae. The record is from Rfam.